AGCCCGACCCCCCCUGGCUGUCCCCUCCUGUCAGGGAGUUGUGCAGAGCCAGAAGGUUCCCCUGAGCCUCCUUUGCUCCAGGCUGAGCCCCUUUCCCAGCUCCCUCAGCUGCUCCUGGGGCUCCAGCCCCUUCCCCAGCUCCGUUCCCUGCCCUGGACACGCUCCAGCCCCUCAAUGUCUGUCUUGAAAUGAGGAACAACUGAAAAUGUCUGGACAUGUUUAUUUUGCACUUCCAUCUAUCCAAAACAGAAUGGAUGGUUUCUUUCUCCCAAGGCCAGGCUGGGCACAGAAAUCAAACUGAGUGGGAAAGGUCUGUGCAAGACAGUCACAGGAACAGGCUUAAAAACACCCAAAAAAAUCACUGGAAAUUUCUGGAGCAUUUCCCAUCCCAGACAACCUGACCUUCAGCUGGUUGAACUCCCUCCCCCAGUUUUUAAGGCUGUCAGUGCAAACACAAGGUGGCUGUUCCUGGAAACACCAGGGGAAAAGUGGCAGGACAAGCACUUAUCAGGAAUAUAUGGAACUGACACAGAAGUCAUGGAGCAACCGAGCAGUGAGACCAUGGGAAAGGUUUUUGCUGGCAACAACAGCCGUUGUGUUUUGACGAGUUAAUAAACAUCUCCCCCAGGAGCGAGGGAGCUCCAGCAUGCUCUGCUUCACCGUGUUUUACUGUCUGACUAACAGAGUUUGCCGAGCAAGAGGUGUUUUUCUAAUCUGAGAACUCGGUGGCUCACGUUUCCCACCUCUCCCAGGAGCUGCUGCGCUUCCCUGCUGAUACCGUGAUGCUUCUGUUAUCUCCUGGAGGGCAACCCAGCCCUUUCUGCCACCCCCAAUCCCAAGUUGUCCCUUGGAUCCCGUGCCUUGGAGCCGUUUAUCAGCCUUGGAAGCUGAGAUAGCAGUGCUCAUCCCGCUCCGUGACCCGCGCGCUCCCGCGGGAUCCCUGCGCUGACGGGAUCCCCUUCAGCGCUGGAAGUGCCACCAAAACCACCAGCCACCGCUGUGGUGAGCUGCUGCUGAAUGAAUGUGUGCUGCCACACCUCGUCUUGCUCCUCCCAAGCACCUCCAUCAUUGCUCCACCAGCGCAGCCCCGCGACUAGAGGAUUUUGCUGGCCUUGCAGAUCAAAAUCCAAGACUUCAUCAUUUUCCAACCAGCACGUGAGGAAGGCCUUGGAAGCCUGAAGAGCAGGCACAGAUGGACUCUGCCCCAGAACCUGCUGUUACUGGGAUGCCCCUCAGGGCUGCAUCCACCUGGAGGUGGCUGCUGCCUUCGUGCCUUUUGGCAAGAAGAAACGAGUCCUUGGAAGUGGCACGAGGCGGCCCCGGGAAGGCGGCGCAAUUUUGCCGCGGAGCCAAAUUGCCGGUUCCGACUUGUAGAACAUUAUUGCUCCUGAAUUAUGGAUGAUUAUUGCACCUCCUGGAUGAUAAAUUAUUGAGCUGACACGCUGGAUGGAGAGUGAGGAGCAGGGGCCGUGCUUACGGCAGGCGGGUCUGGAAUGUGGCGUCUUCCCAGGGAGUGGGGGAUGAUUUUUCCCCCUUUCUUUCCUGAGCAAGAGUGUCUCAGCCUGAAGGUGUUGGAACAGCAGAGAAACCCUGCUCACCCUGUCUCACCCAG
This 1612-nucleotide long non-coding RNA is filed under the name Cyanistes caeruleus (blue tit). RNAcentral's name for it is "lncRNA (ENSCCEG00000018946.1)". The record is from RNAcentral. Lineage: Eukaryota; Metazoa; Chordata; Aves; Passeriformes; Paridae.